UACGGAGGAUGCGAGCGUUAUCCGGAUUUAUUGGGUUUAAAGGGUGCGUAGGCGGAUCGUUAAGUCAGUGGUCAAAUUGAGGGGCUCAACCCCUUCCCGCCAUUGAAACUGGCGAUCUUGAGUGGAAGAGAAGUAUGCGGAAUGCGUGGUGUAGCGGUGAAAUGCAUAGAUAUCACGCAGAACCCCGAUUGCGAAGGCAGCAUGCCGGCUUCCGACUGACGCUGAAGCACGAAAGCGUGG
Molecule: ribosomal RNA, 240 nt
Filed under: uncultured bacterium
Lineage: Bacteria
Description: partial 16S ribosomal RNA
Rfam family: Bacterial small subunit ribosomal RNA
Source: RNAcentral